Molecule: ribosomal RNA, 254 nt
Filed under: uncultured bacterium
Lineage: Bacteria
Description: partial 16S ribosomal RNA
Rfam family: Bacterial small subunit ribosomal RNA
Source: RNAcentral
GACGAACCGUGCGAACGUUAUUCGGAAUCACUGGGCUUAAAGCGCGUGUAGGCGGAUUUGCGCGUCAUUCGUUGAAAGCCCUCGGCUCAACCGAGGAACUGGCGGUGAAACGGCAAGUCUAGAGGAACGCAGGGGGAUCUGGAACUUCCGGUGGAGCGGUGAUAUGCGUUGAGAUCGGAAGGAACGCCCGUGGCGAAAGCGAGAUCCUGGUCGUUAUCUGACGCUGAGACGCGAAAGCUAGGGGAGCAAACGGG